This 348-nucleotide ribosomal RNA is filed under the name uncultured bacterium. RNAcentral's name for it is "bacterial SSU rRNA". It matches the Rfam family "Bacterial small subunit ribosomal RNA", at positions 32 to 359 of the family's 1533-position model. The record is from RNAcentral.
AAUCAACGCUGGCGGCGUGCCUCAGACAUGCAAGUCGAACGCGAAAGUUUCCUUCGGGGAACAAGUAGAGUGGCGCACGGGUGAGUAACACGUAGGUAAUCUACCUUUGGAUGGGGAAUAACAAUCGGAAACGGUUGCUAAUACCGCAUAAUGCAGCGGCACCUAAUGGUGACAGUUGUUAAAGCGGGGGAGUCGAAAGACCUCGCGUCUGAAGAGGAGCCUGCGGCGGAUUAGCAGUUGGUAAGGUAAUGGCUUACCAAGGCUACGAUCCGUAACCGGCCUGAGAGGGCGGUCGGUCACACUGACACUGACAUACGGGUCAGACUCCUACGGGAGGCAGCAGUCGGG